This 585-nucleotide ribosomal RNA is filed under the name Triticum aestivum (bread wheat). Its description in RNAcentral is "partial small subunit ribosomal RNA". Lineage: Eukaryota; Viridiplantae; Streptophyta; Magnoliopsida; Poales; Poaceae. The record is from RNAcentral.
AUGCUCGAUACUUCUUGUACCGGUUCUUUUAUGAUGAAGACUAUUAAAUUCAGAUGGGAUUUAUUGGAAAUAAGUAAACGCAACUCUGAAGAUUGGGAACUCGACGAAGGUAAGGAGUCAGGUAUAACCACUAAGUUUGAUUUUGUUAAAUCUUUUAUGGAUACCAAUGCUUUUCGUGAAUUUAGCACUAAAUAUGGACUUGACGCUGAGAUAGUAGCUUCUUUAUGUGAAUCAUUUGCUACUCAUGUUGAUCUCCCUAAGGAGAAGUGGUUUAAAUAUCAUCCUACCAUUGAAUUAAAGGUAGUAGAACCUAUUAAAGUUGAACAAAAAGCUAUUACUUAUAAUGUUAAUCCUAUUGUUCCUACUGCUUAUAUUGAGAAACCACCCUUUCCUGUUACAAUAAAGGAUCAUGCUAAAGCUUCAACUAUAGUUCGUAGGAGUAAUGCUAGAACACCUACACCCCCUAAGCAAAUUAAAGUUGAACCUAGUAUUUAUAUGGUUAAAGAUCUCUUGGUUGAUAAUAUUGAUGGGCAUGUUAUUUACUUGUGUGAUGAAGCUGCUAGAAUUGCUAGACCCCGAUACUAA